RNAcentral lists this ribosomal RNA (466 nucleotides) under uncultured bacterium. RNAcentral describes it as "partial 16S ribosomal RNA". It matches the Rfam family "Bacterial small subunit ribosomal RNA", at positions 29 to 507 of the family's 1533-position model. The record is from RNAcentral.
ACGAACGCUGGCGGCGUGCUUCACACCUGCAAGUCGAACGGAAAGGCCUCUUUCGGGGGGUACUCGAGUGGCGAACGGGUGAGUAACACGUGAGUAACCUGCCCUUGACUUUGGGAUAACUUCAGGAAACUGGGGCUAAUACCGGAUAGGAGCUCCUGCUGCAUGGUGGGGGUUGGAAAGUUUCGGCGGUUGGGGAUGGACUCGCGGCUUAUCAGCUUGUUGGUGGGGUAGUGGCUUACCAAGGCUUUGACGGGUAGCCGGCCUGAGAGGGUGACCGGCCACAGUGGGACUGAGAUACGGCCCAGACUCCUACGGGAGGCAGCAGUGGGGAAUAUUGCACAAUGGGUGGAAGCCUGAUGCAGCAACGCCGUGUGCGGGAUGACGGCCUUCGGGUUGUAAACCGCUUUCGCUCAUGACGAAGCUUUGUGUGACGGUAGUGGGUAAAGAAGCACCGGCUAACUACGUG